GGGGAUGAUAGGACUCGAUAGGAAGAACAUUUAAAAUACGGCAAGCCGAGCGCGCCAUUGCUCGUAAAUCCAUGGCAAACAUAAUAAGUGCAAACUUAUUUAGCAAGAUGAAGGCUUCUUUAGCUUUCAAUUUUGCUCCUGUCGCUGUCUAAGAACAACGACCAUCUGAUACUCUGACGCCCACUAGGAGAUAUCGGGUGCCAUAAUAGCGGGCUAGCCAGUUAAGUUUGGUCUUGGCAAGACUGGCGAAACUCUCAAGACCAAAACCGUGUCCCGUUCGCGGGACUCUAAGCUUGUAGAAGUAUUUUUCUUGACUUUCUAGACGCGGGUUCAAUUCCCGCCAUCUCCACUC
RNAcentral lists this transfer-messenger RNA (352 nucleotides) under Patescibacteria group. Its description in RNAcentral is "CAIXNZ01 sp016927685 Standard tmRNA". It matches the Rfam family "transfer-messenger RNA". From Rfam's summary of the family: Bacterial tmRNA, also known as 10Sa RNA or SsrA, is named for its dual tRNA and mRNA-like properties. Its role is to liberate the mRNA from a stalled ribosome. RNAcentral also lists the same sequence under 1 other name. The record is from RNAcentral.